Molecule: ribosomal RNA, 497 nt
Filed under: uncultured bacterium
Lineage: Bacteria
Description: partial 16S ribosomal RNA
Rfam family: Bacterial small subunit ribosomal RNA
Source: RNAcentral
GAUGAACGCUGGCGGCGUGCCUAAUACAUGCAAGUCGAGCGAACAGACGAGGAGCUUGCUCCUCUGACGUUAGCGGCGGACGGGUGAGUAACACGUGGAUAACCUACCUAUAAGACUGGGAUAACUUCGGGAAACCGGAGCUAAUACCGGAUAAUAUAUUGAACCGCAUGGUUCAAUAGUGAAAGACGGUUUUGCUGUCACUUAUAGAUGGAUCCGCGCCGCAUUAGCUAGUUGGUAAGGUAACGGCUUACCAAGGCAACGAUGCGUAGCCGACCUGAGAGGGUGAUCGGACACACUGGAACUGAGACACGGUCCAGACUCCUACGGGAGGCAGCAGUAGGGAAUCUUCCGCAAUGGGCGAAAGCUUGACGGAGCAACGCCGCGUGAGUGAUGAAGGUCUUCGGAUCGUAAAACUCUGUUAUUAGGGAAGAACAAAUGUGUAAGUAACUAUGAACGUCUUGACGGUACCUAAUCAGAAAGCCACGGCUAACUACGUG